AUAAAGUUAAAUUUUGGCUUAAUAAUUUAUUUAUAAGUUAUUUUAUAUGUAAAUUUUUGUGUGAGUUUAUAUUAAUUUUAAAAAUUAUUAUAUAAAUAUUAUUUGCAGUAAUUAGUAUUAAUUAUUAAAGAAAUUUAGAAUUAGUAAAUUUAUUUAUUAUAGGCAAAUUUUGUGCCAGCAGCUGCGGUUACACAAAAUAUAAAAAUAAAUUUUAUUAGUAAUAGUUAAAAGUUUUUUUAUAAAAUAAGUUUUAAUUUAUUAGGUGAAAUUUUAAAUUAAAUAAUAUUUUAAUUUAUAAUAUUUAAAGCUAUGAAAUUUAAAUAAAAACUAGGAUUAGAUACCCUAUUAUUUUAAAUGUAAAAAUUUUAUACUUUGGUAGUAUUAGUUAUAUUCUUGAAACUAAAAAAAUUUGGCGGUAUUUUAGUCUUUUCAGAGGAACCUGUUUUAUAAUUGAUAGUCCACAUUAUAUCUUACUUAAUUUUGUUUUUCAAUUUGUAUAUCGUCGUCAUCAGAAUAUCUUAAUUAAGUAAUAAUUUUCUAACAUUUUUAUUAAAAAUGAUGUCAGAUCAAGGUGCAGUUUAUGAUUAAGUAAAAAUGGGUUACAAUAAAAUUAUUUAUACGGAGUAAUUUAUGAAAUUAAAUUAUUAAGGUGGAUUUGAAAGUAAAUUAUAUUAUUAUAUUUAGUUGAUUAUAGCUCUAAAAUAUGUACAUAUCGCCCGUCGCUCUCGUUUUUAAAAUGAGAUAAGUCGUAACAUAGUAGGGGUACUGGAAAGUGUACCUAGAAUGA
RNAcentral lists this non-coding RNA (787 nucleotides) under Coboldia fuscipes. Lineage: Eukaryota; Metazoa; Arthropoda; Insecta; Diptera; Scatopsidae. The record is from RNAcentral.